CCAAUAGCGUAUAUUAAAGUUGUUGCAGUUAAAAAGCUCGUAGUUGAAUUUCGGGAUUGACGUGAUGGUCGUGCCUUAAGGGGUAUGAACUGUCGCCGUUGAUUUCUCACCUUCUGGAGAAGCUCGAUGUCCUUAAUUGGAUGUCUUGUGGAACCAGGACCUUUACCUUGAAAAAAUUAGAGUGUUUAAAGCAGGCAUUUUGCUCGAAUACAUUAGCAUGGAAUAAUAGAAUAGGACGGCAUGGUUCUAUUUUGUUGGUUUCUAGGAUCACCGUAAUGAUUAAUAGGGAUAGUUGGGGGCAUUAGUAUUCAAUUGUCAGAGGUGAAAUUCUUGGAUUUAUUGAAGACUAACUACUGCGAAAGCAUUUGCCAAGGAUGUUUUCAUUAAUCAAGAACGAAAGUUAGGGGAUCGAAGACGAUCAGAUACCGUCGUAGUCUUAACCAUAAACUAUGCCGACUAGGAAUCAGACGAUGUUAAUUUUUUAAUGACUCGUUUGGCACCUUACG
This 506-nucleotide ribosomal RNA is filed under the name uncultured Glomeromycotina. Its description in RNAcentral is "partial small subunit ribosomal RNA". It matches the Rfam family "Eukaryotic small subunit ribosomal RNA", at positions 591 to 1092 of the family's 1831-position model. Lineage: Eukaryota; Fungi; Glomeromycota. The record is from RNAcentral.